UACUCUUCCCCCUCUCCGUUCUCCCCAUCUUGCUUCUCUCUCUCUCUCUCAAAUCCCCAAAUUCUGAAAUCCCUAAAUCUGCAAAUCUACCCUUUCCAUCUUUUUUUUUCUCGGCUGGACGGUCAACGGAGAAGGACCACCGCCGCCAACCACCUCCUACUCACCCUCUCAGACCCUCCCUUAUCUCUCUAUCGGCCGACAGACAGCAGGAGUUUCAGACCACCACCGCCGCCGUUCGCAACUGCCAUCUUAUCUCUCGAUCGACGAACGGACGGCGCCAAUAGGCAACCGCCGCCGCGAUUUAUCACCACCAUCUCCGAUUCUCCCUAAACCGCCUCUUCAUCCCCUCUGAAUUUCGGCCAGCAGCUAGAGAUACCGCCGCCGCCGCCGACUCUAUCCCGCCUCCACUCCUUCUCUCCUUCUACCAGCGAUGACAGCCACGCCGGAGACAACAGCAGUAACCGCGCCUCCGCGGUGACCACUGCAGCACCGCUGCCUUCGCUCCCCCCCUGCCCUAACUCGCCUCGACUCGAUUCCCACAUCAACAACACAUAGCGAAAGGUUAAAGAAAAUACGUGUAAGGCUCAAUUAAUCCAUAGGCAUUCUGUAAACUUGUUUUCUUUUUCAUAUGCAGUUUCUGUAACAACCAUAUGUACAUCAAAUAUAUAAGAUACGAUCUUUAUUCAUGUAUGCUAAUCAUCUUUUAGAUGUAUAUGAAUGUCUUGUUUGAUUGUAAAUAAAGAAUGGUUAUUAUUAUGCUUUGGCGUAUGAAAUUGGAGUGUAUGUUUGAGAAUGGAAGUGAACUGGAGGCAAACCUUUAUGAGAAUUCUGUUAUGAAGUAAAUUUUGAGGGCUGUGAUUUUGAGCUACGAACUGUCGCCUGCUACUCUUGGUGAGAAGCUGGGAUUUUGAGUUGUGUGUUGGGUGAAGAGUUAAGCUGCUUCGUGUGUGAUCGAAAGGGCGAGAAUGGCUAAAAUUUAUAGGGGAAACUAGCAGGAAGAAGAAGACGUGGAAGUACCCCUAUCAUGCAUUAAAACUAACUACUGAUGAUCAUGUAAUGUGUCAAUUCUACUGCCCCAAGUAAAAGAUUAAAAACUCAUGCAAAAACUCAAGAUAUAUAUAUAUAUAUAUAUAUAUAUAUUCGGUCCACUUAAAGAUAUAGUGGGCUUCUUAAAUAAGUGAUCCUUUGCAAAUUGUUUACAAAGCCCAACAUCAAAAUAAUUUAUUGAGAUAGAAAAUAUAAGCACAUUGCCUUCAAAUAAUUUGAUAAAAUCUAUUAUUAAAAGGAAUACUUUUUCGAAAAAAAAUAAUAAUUUAUCCGGGCGAGAAUCUACUUAUUCUAAGUUCAAGUAUUCUCAUGAAAUCUUAUUAGGCAAAAAUCGGGGUAUUACAACCCUCCCCCCUUAAAAAAUUUCGUCCUCGAAAUUUAAAUACCUCGGCUAGCAAACUCGACUCCUAGUCUGCACACACUUUUCUCGUUCAUAGAGAUUCUAUCAAGGCAGAAUAAAUCUGGAUACCCCGUAAGGUUUUGAUCUUUCGAUCAAAUAUGUCCAUCAAUCUCUUUUCAUUUUCUUAAAUUCCAAAUAGGACUAACUUGUCAUGCUUGCUUAUCAUUUCUAUAUAUCAUCUUGAAAGCUUCCACCACCAUAGGCUUCAAACUUAACAUUUCACAUGCAUGUAGAGAUAAAAGUAUGAAGCUCUUGAUGUUAAAACAUAUACGUCAAUUUAUGACGAUUGUACCUUCUAAAUCUUUAGGUGCUUGAGCUACUUGUUGCUGGUUAAGAGCAUAAGCCCUAGCACGUGCAGGUUGUCUCUGAUUUGGCCGCUCGUUACCAAUUAGUACUUGAUUCGGCCUUUGAGGGGCAAGGUUCUGAGGUUGUGGAAUUCUCAUGUUCCCGUUAUUAUUUGGGCAGUCUCUGGCGAAAUGCCCUGGUUGCUUGCACCUAAAGCAGUCAUUGGAGCCUAUCUUACAUUCACCAUAGUGAUUUUUCUGACAUGUUGGGCAUAAAGGCUUUCCUUCAGUAUGUCCUUGUUGCUGCUGAGUUCCUCUCCAUGGUUGCUUCAUUUUUCCUGGGUUCCCUUCAUUUUCGCCUUCCCAUUUACGUUUCAUUUUUCCAUAGUUUUGGGUCGGUGCUUGUGCUGACACAUUUUCUUUUUCCUUUGGUAGUAUUGCUUCGAUGUUUAGGGACCUGCUCAAAGAUUGAGCAUAUGUUAAUGCUCCUUGACUUGCUAGUGGAACGGCUAUCUCAAGCCGCAAACCUUGUCGAAACUUUUCUGCACAUUUCUCGUCUGUGUCAACUAGAUGUGGAGCAUAUCGCGAAAGCUGGUUAAACAUUCGGUCGUACUCAGUGACUGUCAUAUUUCCUUGUCGUAAAUUCCAAAACUCAUCUAGUUUCUUCUUCCUAUAGCAUCCAGGGAUAUAUUUUUCAUACAAUCUUUCUUUAAAAUCGUUCCACGUGUAUGCCUCCCAUUGCUCGGGGGUCAAGGUUCGUCGCACCGAUUCCCACCAGAAUUCGGCCUCAUCAACGAGUUGGAAAAUUGCACAUGUGAGUUUCUCCCUAUCCCCACAGCCAACAUGGUUGAGUAUCCUUUCAGUAGCUCUUACCCAUCUCUCGGGAUCCAGAGGAUCACCAAGGCCAUCAAAAGUUGGUGGAUUAUGCUUGCGAAACUUUUCUUCCACACUACGUUCUGGUAUAACUCGUGGCACAUGUUCUUCAGGGUUAGGUCCCCUUCCUCUUUCUCCAGCAUUCUGCAUGUAAUCAACAAUGUUGGGCUUCUUCUUUUUUUCUCACAAAAAUUGGUGAUACUGGUGACAUAAAGAUCUUUCUAUUGUCUGAAACGAAUGUUGGUUGUCUACAAGUCAUCCCUUCAUGUAUCGUGCUUUGAUAUUCUAACUUUCGUAUUUCGAUAUUCUAUGCCUUACUCUUCCAUGUUCUAUGUUUAUGCCAUUCUAUACUUUCUACGUUCUGUCAUUCUAUGUUCAGUGCUUUCAUUGUUCAGUCUUUACUACGUUCAAGUCAUUCUAUCUCCAGUGCUUUCUUCGUAUAGUCCUUUCUAUUCUUAGUCUGUCCAUGUGAUUGUAAAAUUCUCUAAUCUUAAAAAUUAAAAAUCUAAAGACAUCAUUCAUUAGUUCACCAAGCGACUAUAGUAUGUCAUCAUGUCAUUUCUAGGUUCAUAACCUAACUAAAACAUGUAAUAACACGUAGUGGUUGAAUCAUCUCAUGGUAAUAAAUUGCAUAUCACGCAUUUAUGCAACAUCUCCUCAUUUCAAAACAAGUUGGGCACAUACUUUUGUAUGAUAACAUAUUUGAAUCUCAAAUUCAUGAUCAUAUGCAUGUCUUGUCUCAACAAAUGUUAAGGUUCCAUACAUGUUGCGUUUCAGUGUACGGACGUCUCCAUACAUGAUCCGCUUCAGUGUAUGUUCAGUCAUAAUUCAGAUCAAUGCAUUCAAUCUCAAACCACAUCCAUUCUUAUUGCGUGUUCAGUCUCAAUUCAUAUAUUCUGUCUCAAUGCGUCUAUAGUUUCAAUACAUGCUCUGUUUCAAUGCUUGUUCAGUCUCAAUACAUGUUCCAUCUCAAUGCAUGUUUUGUCUCAGUGCAUGUUCAGUCUCAAUGCAUGUCCCGUCUCUAUGCAUAUUCAAUCUCAAUGCAUGUUCAUCUCAAUGCAUGUUCAAUCAUAAUGCAUGUUCCAUCUCAAUGCAUAUUCAAUAUUAACAUGUUCUAUAACAUAUUCAUUUGGUGCAUGCAUUUCAGUAAACAUUUUGAAAACAUGAUUAACAUACCUUGGUUGAGGGCUGUGUGACGACGAGCUGAGGGUUGCUGUAUAAACAUUAGAAGUCUAGAGAUGAUAUCCUAGACUCGACAUCAAUGAACUUGCGGUCUCAGAGCCAAGAACUUUCGCUCUGAUACCAUCUGUGACAGCCCUCAUUCCCGGGAGAAUAGGAAACGUGCUACUUAAUGGGAUUUCUAGACUUUGCUAGGAUAAAAUAGGUGAUAUGUCUUUAGAUUUGGGUAACACAUUCAUAAUAAAGGAAUGUCGCAAUUGAAGGAUAAUAAAUACGACAACUUAGAUAGAAAUUCUCCCAACCAGGAUCAAAAGUCCGGAGGUCUGAGACAACAAGAUAACACUUCAAACUAGACAUACAUAUAUGCGAGGUUCAGUUGCUAGAAAUGCGAUUGCCAAAAGAGUUCAUAAUAAUUAGGCUAGGAAUAUUUAAAGAGUCAAUCUCAAAAGAUAUCCACCUAAGUGAAUAUUAUGGCAGCGGAAUUUAUUCUUGACAUUCAUUUGGAAAUACAGCAACACCCUCCCUCAGCUUCACACGAUACCAUCUGCCGCUCAACCUGCAAAAGGUUUUGAAAACAAUUGCAGGGCUGAGUACUAGUAUACUCAGUGGGUUUAGCCAUUUGAAAACAUUUGAAAAAAAAUCCAUUUAAAAGAAUAAUCCAUGCUAUGAACAGUAUAACAUAGAAAUAUUUGAAAGCAUUCCAUGCAUACAUAAAAUAAAUUGUGGAUCCAUUUUCAGUCUUCUCUCAAUUGGUGCUUCACCUAUAAUGUGAACAUGUGGGAGCAGCCCACAGAGGUCCACUACCAUGCAUGUUUCAGAAAUGGGAGCAGCCCAAGUCUGACAGUCUGAGGCAAGUGGGAGCAGCCCACAAUACCCCCUUGUGUGUACACAAUCCUAACCAGGGCGAUCCAAUCGCUACGCCGGCUAGGACCCGAUCGUUAGAGAACAUAGGAGCACUUUAAACAAUAGAGAGAUAAAAUCAUUUUAACAUGGACAUUCAUUUGCAUUUGCAUAAAAACAAUUUAGAGCUCAAUAACUCAAAACAUACAUUGGAAAAUAAAAACCCAGCUUGAUAACAAGCCUGUAGAUAAAACUUGCGCAAUUCUCUUCUUGUAAAAUCAGUGCUAAAGCCUUCUAUCAAGUGGACCUACAAGAUAAUCUAAUCUUAAUAGGCCUUAAAAUAUCGCAUGAGCUAACGAUUCUACAAAGCUGCUAAAUCUUAAUAUUCUGCGCCCGGAUUUUCAAAACUCAAUUGAAAAUCUUGAAAAUCGAAAUUAUCAAAAUACUUUUAUUGCAUUAUUCAGUAUGCAAAUUCAUAUCAUAUCUCAAAAUCACAUAAAGUAAAUAACUACACUUAAAAAAAAUGCAGCUGAACUCUUUAAUAAAAUAAGGCCCAUCUUAAAAAAAAGUAAUAGGCCCAAAAUAAAUAAGUAAACCCCCCCCCCCCUUACUUUCUCCCUCACGUCUCCCCCUCUCUCUCUCACCAAUACCAGAACACAUUCCCUUCUCCUCCUCUCUUCGCCAUCUCUCUCUCUCACGCAGCCGCCCCGCCACUUCUCCGUCGCCGGCGACAACAGCGAUGUCGCCGUCGCGCAUUACUCUUCCCCCUCUCCGUUCUCCCCAUCUUGCUUCUCUCUCUCUCUCUCAAAUCCCCAAAUUCUGAAAUCCCUAAAUCUGCAAAUCUACCCUUUCCAUCUUUUUUUUUCUCGGCUGGACGGUCAACGGAGAAGGACCACCGCCGCCAACCACCUCCUACUCACCCUCUCAGACCCUCCCUUAUCUCUCUAUCGGCCGACAGACAGCAGGAGUUUCAGACCACCACCGCCGCCGUUCGCAACUGCCAUCUUAUCUCUCGAUCGACGAACGGACGGCGCCAAUAGGCAACCGCCGCCGCGAUUUAUCACCACCAUCUCCGAUUCUCCCUAAACCGCCUCUUCAUCCCCUCUGAAUUUCGGCCAGCAGCUAGAGAUACCGCCGCCGCCGCCGACUCUAUCCCCGCCUCCACUCCUUCUCUCCUUCUACCAGCGAUGACAGCCACGCCGGAGACAACAGCAGUAACCGCGCCUCCGCGGUCGACCACUGCAGCACCGCUGCCUUCGCUCCCCCCCUGCCCUAACUCGCCUCGACUCGAUUCCCACAUCAACAACACAUAGCGAAAGGUUAAAGAAAAUACGUGUAAGGCUCAAUUAAUCCAUAGGCAUUCUGUAAACUUGUUUUCUUUUUCAUAUGCAGUUUCUGUAACAACCAUAUGUACAUCAAAUAUAUAAGAUACGAUCUUUAUUCAUGUAUGCUAAUCAUCUUUUAGAUGUAUAUGAAUGUCUUGUUUGAUUGUAAAUAAAGAAUGGUUAUUAUUAUGCUUUGGCGUAUGAAAUUGGAGUGUAUGUUUGAGAAUGGAAGUGAACUGGAGGCAAACCUUUAUGAGA
Molecule: long non-coding RNA, 6206 nt
Filed under: Salvia miltiorrhiza (redroot sage)
Lineage: Eukaryota; Viridiplantae; Streptophyta; Magnoliopsida; Lamiales; Lamiaceae
Description: long non-coding RNA (SMIL_LNC011887)
Source: RNAcentral